This 77-nucleotide transfer RNA is filed under the name Sphaerodactylus townsendi. RNAcentral's name for it is "tRNA-Ala". Lineage: Eukaryota; Metazoa; Chordata; Lepidosauria; Squamata; Sphaerodactylidae. The record is from RNAcentral.
GGAGAUGGACCAUGGCUCAGUGGUAAAACAUCUGCACAGCACGCAGAAGGCCCUAGGUUCAGUCUCUGGCAUCUCCA